Gasterosteus aculeatus aculeatus (three-spined stickleback) is the source of this 3384-nucleotide long non-coding RNA. RefSeq lists it as uncharacterized. The record is from RefSeq and is a predicted model, not a curated record. NCBI's taxonomy places the organism in Eukaryota, Metazoa, Chordata, Actinopteri, Perciformes, Gasterosteidae.
GGGACUGGGGGACAAAGCAAAGGAAGAAAGUAGGUUUAAGAGGUCAGAGGACUUCUCUGUCUGGAUGUUGAAGUCAGAUUUACAAUCAUUUUUUAUACGCUUAUCCAUAGAGGGUUGCGGGAGGGCUGGAGUCAAUCCCCGGAUCAUCGGACAAUAGAGGGGUUGUCGUGGCGCAGGGGUAGAGAGGGUGCACUUGGAACCGCAAGGUUGGUGGUUUGAGUCCUUGCUGCCCCAUGUCCCAACUCAGUGUCCCAGAGCAAGACGCCUAACCCCUUAUUGCAAUGUAAGUCGCUUUGGAUGAAAGCGUCAGCUAAAUGACCCCAAGUACACCUUGAGCCAGGUAUAGCCAGGGAGAUCAUGCAAACUCCACAAAGAAGGGCUGCUGGGUUAUUAUGUUAUAUUAAUGCAUAUGACUGAAAUGAUUCAUAAUAUUGAAUAGUACAUAAAAUUACUACUAAUAAUAAUUAUAAUGGCAGCAGCAGAGGAUACAGUACAUCUGGAAAGUUUGCUGAAAUGUUUGCUUUAAUGUAAAACCUUACAGUGAACAUGUAAACUGUUGGAGACUGUCUGAAUUCUUCUUUAUUUAAUUCCAAUAAUGAAGUGGAUUUACAGUUGGUUUGACAAAGGGGAUGUUUUUAAAAUUGAUUUAAAAGGAAGAAACCUUAAGAACAGGAGAAUACAGAACGAACAACAUAAAAGAUGUACAGUACGUUAAAUGACAGAAAUGAUUGAAACAUUGAGUGGUAAGCCAGGGGUAAGGCAGGACCACUGCAGAGCGAACAGCAGCAUGAGGGGUGAGACAAUCAUCAUCCUUUGGAUUGUCAUUUCUUGGUAUAUGAUGUCCUCUCAUUUUCCUCUUCAGAAGCCAAAGCAGCACUUAUUCGCUACAAAAUACCGAAAAUGUUGUCACUCAGUCCCAUAAAAUGAAUUGUAUCCCGUUCAGCUGAAGAUGUCAACUUCAGUAGUUCAUUUGCCCCGGGGCAAACACAUUUUGGUUGCAGAACAGUCCCUAGACAGUAUUUUGUAGAGGAGGUUGUGGGGGUGGGGGAGGGAGAACAUGCCUCAGGGGAAGAAAAACAUGGCGCCGAUCUGGGAAACGAUUAAAUCAAGAUUCCUCCCAACAACACCCCCCCUCUGACACACACACACCCCCUCCAGGGGAAUGGCCUGCCAAGCAGCACAGAGAGAAAGAUGGAGGGAGAGUGAAAUGGAGAAGAAAAUAGAUUAUAAGUGAGAAUGUGCUGGUUAUCUUAAUUAAAUGGAAGUGCAUUUCAUCCUCCUUCUAUUGAUUUCUGCCAGGGGUAGUGUGUGUACUUCAAAGACUGCCUGCUCUAUAAUACUGGUUUGAACGCUGUAUUUUCUACUCAAGGCAGACAUGACUAUUGAUGGCAACAAACUAUUGAGAUAGUAAUUUAAAGGAACAAUAAAGCCUAGCUCUGAGAGACUAUUUGCAGCUGUCAUUCUCCAUUUAGCUCAUGCUUUCAUGCUGUAAAGCCACAUUUAACAGUUAAAUGAAAUAUGAUGUGGAGGAGAGCAUAUUUGCAAAGGUGUUUGUUUGCAUGGAUGCCUUUUUGAUUGUGUGUGUCGGUGUAAUCUGUUAAACAAUGUAUUUACCAUUUUUAUCUGACAGGCUCCACAGAUUGGAGACAUGCAAUGCUUUUCGAUUGCCCUUACUUACCCACCCUCGAACAUUCAUUUUAAUUUUGGAAGGUCAAUCAUUUUUUUGUGCUUCAGGGAAUAAUUAUUUAUGUAUUCUGUAAUUUAAGUGGCCUGCUUUCUGGUUACUUUAUCGUAUUAAUGGGAAUCACAACUCAUUUAAAAAUGAAAAAUUUGCUCUCAAAGGUAUGUACAAGAUGUAUGCAAGAUGCUCUGUCCCAGGACCCUCAUUUCGGUAUAGGACCCCCCUGCCUUAAAAACAAAAGAAGAGGGAGAGCGGAAGUGGAGGGAUCCCGCUAUCGUAAUGGACAGAGUAAAAUUGUGUAAAAGAUUUACUAUACGUUUAAUGGAUCUUAAUUUUUCAUAUAAUAAACUGUAAUAGUAUUAAGUUAAAUUAGUACUACAAAUAAUAAUAGCAGCAACAGCACUGAAAAUAGUAGAAUACAAUUUACUGAUGUUUUUUCUUAUUUGGGAUUUGUUCUUAGGUAAGAACAGAAUUGACACACUCCCAAGAGCACUCUUGCACACAAUUGAGAGCUGACAUAUUGUAAGCAAAAUAAGUAGUUAUACCAUUUUCGUCCAUUCUAAAUUAAUAUGGAAAAUUUCUCUCCUUUAUAAUUUUGCAACUAUUUUUAUUAUUUUACACACAGUUAUAUGUCUGCACUUUAUAAAAGGAUUUUAAAGGACAAUAAGUCAUAAUAACGUCUUUGUGUUAUUUACUUUAUCAUAAUGAUUUAUACAAUUACAGCUUAAUUGUUUUCAGUACUCCAACUCAGGUUUUUAAGCCAGUUCAACAAAUUGUAAAUUUAAACAAGUUUUAAUUAUUUGUCCAACAGUCAAAAUGCAGUGCCAAUUACUGCAGUUCCUCAAACGGCCACUUGAAGCGAUUCAAUUUCCAUUGGACUCCCAUUUUAAAUUGUCACGAUGUACACAGAAAUACAAACGCAUACAUUCUGCUACUAAAUGUUUUGGAAAUUUUUACCUUCGUGAACUGUGUAUGGGGUGUCUUAUUUUUUACUACUUAUCCAUUUAAAUUAUAUUGAGGCUUGAAGUUAUGUAUAAUCUGACUGUACCAGGUCGCAAACUGCGAGCUGUCUGUCUGCUCAGCUGCAUCACUAACCAAUGGAAAUACCAGACGGCAAACUAACCUAAACCAGGCGGUGGAUUAAUACGUUCUGAACAGCCGGAUCACAGACAUGACCUGGACCUCAUCACGCAGUACGUCAGCUCAGCGAACCAACUGGCGGAUGAAUAUCGUUAACCAACGAGACGAUGAACGUGAGUCGGCAUUUGAAAAAUGGCGCGACAUCUCGGAAAAGAAAGAAAGCCUGAGGCCAAAAACUUUCACAGCAAAGGAGUGCGCAAGUGGAUAGCAACAUUCUUGUGCUACGACGUGAGCCCGGCGGACCGUUUCUACUCUCUGGUCCUUGAUCCAAAGCAGGGUCCAGCUGGACGCAGUCGUUGAUGACUUGGUCGCAAGGGUGCUAGAGGUCUACAAAGCUGCAGGCACUAAAGACAUUUUGAACUGCCUCGAGAAAAAGAUGGAUGGGGUUGAUCAUUAUUUGUAAAGUGAUGAAGUCCAUCUCACAUUGCCUUGAAGGUUUUUCUUUUUGUGAAUAUUCUGUCACUGAAUAUUUUGUUUAAAUACAGUAAAGAAGUUGUUAGAUGUCUGCAUGUUAUAAUGUAAAAACUUCAUUUUAAUGCAAGAAAUACAUUUUUGCAACAAGA